CCCUAGUAACUGCGAGUGAAGCGGGAAAAGCUCAAAUUUAAAAUCUGGCGGUCUUCGAUCGUCCGAGUUGUAGUCUGGAGAAGCGUCUUCCGCGCUGGACCGUGUACAAGUCUCUUGGAACAGAGCGUCGUAGAGGGUGAGAAUCCCGUCUUUGACACGGACUACCAGUGCUUUGUGAUGCGCUCUCAAAGAGUCGAGUUGUUUGGGAAUGCAGCUCAAAAUGGGUGGUAAAUUCCAUCUAAAGCUAAAUAUUGGCGAGAGACCGAUAGCGAACAAGUACCGUGAGGGAAAGAUGAAAAGCACUUUGGAAAGAGAGUUAAACAGUACGUGAAAUUGCUGAAAGGGAAACGAUUGAAGUCAGUCGCGUCGUCUAGAACUCAACCUUGCCUCGGCUCGGUGCAUUUUCUAGUUGACGGGCCAGCAUCAGUUUCGACCGUUGGAAAAAGGUCCUUGGAAUGUGGCACCUUCGGGUGUGUUAUAGCCUUGGGUCGUAUACGACGGUUGGGACUGAGGACCGCAGCACGCCUUUAUGGCCGGGGUUCGCCCACGUACGUGCUUAGGAUGCUGGCGUAAUGGCUUUAAACGACCCGUCUUGAAACACGGACCAAGGAGUCUAACAUGCCUGCGAGUGUUUGGGUGGUAAACCCGAGCGCGUAACGAAAGUGAAAGUUGGGAUCCCUGUCGUGGGGAGCACCGACGCCCACACCAGACCUUCUGUGACGGAUGUGCGGUUGAGCAUGUAUGUUGGGACCCGAAAGAUGGUGAACUAUGCCUGAAUAGGGUGAAGCCAGAGGAAACUCUGGUGGAGGCUCGUAGCGAUUCUGACGUGCAAAUCGAUCGUCAAAUUUGGGUAUAGGGGGCGAAAGACUAAUCGAACC
RNAcentral lists this ribosomal RNA (878 nucleotides) under Phlebia radiata. RNAcentral's name for it is "eukaryotic LSU rRNA". It matches the Rfam family "Eukaryotic large subunit ribosomal RNA", at positions 78 to 941 of the family's 3401-position model. Lineage: Eukaryota; Fungi; Basidiomycota; Agaricomycetes; Polyporales; Meruliaceae. The record is from RNAcentral.